AUUUGUCAAAUAUUGACAUUGAAAGAAGAAAAUAUGUGGCUCUCUCUAUUAUGCAGAUAGCAGCUCAAGCUAUGCAAGUUCAAUCCCAUGUUUAGUGACUUGAACAAUCAUGAAUCUACAAGGGUGUUCAAGAAAUCAUCAGAAAGUUAAAGAACUUUGUUUCAUCCAAAUCACUUGCAGCUUUACGGAAAAAACAGAUGCUAGAACACAAGAAGAAGAAGAAUACAGGCUACAUAUAAUUUCUUGAAACUUAUCGCGACUAGAACUUGAUACUAUAUAAAAACUUAACUAAUCAUUUGAGUACUUAACAUACAUUUUGCUUUUGGAUUUAGAUUACUAGUUUAAUUUGUUCCAUAUUUUGGAUUAUGUGAUUAUUAAUGAAUGAUUUUGUUU
Long non-coding RNA from Capsicum annuum, 393 nucleotides. RefSeq lists it as uncharacterized. Lineage: Eukaryota; Viridiplantae; Streptophyta; Magnoliopsida; Solanales; Solanaceae. The transcript has 2 exons. The record is from RefSeq and is a predicted model, not a curated record.